This 237-nucleotide ribosomal RNA is filed under the name uncultured bacterium. Its description in RNAcentral is "partial 16S ribosomal RNA". It matches the Rfam family "Bacterial small subunit ribosomal RNA", at positions 540 to 776 of the family's 1533-position model. The record is from RNAcentral.
GUUGUUCGGAAUUACUGGGCGUAAAGGGCUCGUAGGCGGCCAACUAAGUCAUACGUGAAAUCCCUCAGCUUAACUGGGGAACUGCGUGUGAUACUGGAUGGCUUGGAUUUGGGAGAGGGAUGCGGAAUUCCAGGUGUAGCGGUGAAAUGCGUAGAUAUCUGGAGGAACACCGGUGGCGAAGGCGGCAUCCUGGACAAAUAUUGAAGCUGAGGAGCGAAAGCCAGGGGAGCAAACGGG